This 71-nucleotide transfer RNA is filed under the name Cordylochernes scorpioides. RNAcentral describes it as "tRNA-Gly". The record is from RNAcentral. Lineage: Eukaryota; Metazoa; Arthropoda; Arachnida; Pseudoscorpiones; Chernetidae.
UGCAUCGGCCGGGAAUCGAACCUGGGCCGCCCGCGUGGUAGGCGAGCAUUCUACCACUGAACCACCGAUGC